This 326-nucleotide ribosomal RNA is filed under the name uncultured eukaryote. RNAcentral's name for it is "partial 18S ribosomal RNA". It matches the Rfam family "Eukaryotic small subunit ribosomal RNA", at positions 1470 to 1796 of the family's 1831-position model. The record is from RNAcentral.
CCCUUAGAUGUUCUGGGCUGCACGCGCGCUACACUGAUGCAUUCAACGAGUUCCUACCUUGGCCGAGAGGCCUGGGCAAUCUUUUGAACUUGCAUCGUGAUAGGGAUAGAUUAUUGCAAUUAUUAAUCUUGAACGAGGAAUUCCUAGUAAACGCAGAUCAUCAAUCUGCAUUGAUUACGUCCCUGCCCUUUGUACACACCGCCCGUCGCACCUACCGAUUGAAUGGUCCGGUGAAGCCUCGGGAUUGUGGUUAGUUUCCUUCAUUGGAAGUUAGCCGCGAGAACUUGUCUAAACCUUAUCAUUUAGAGGAAGGUGAAGUCGUAACA